Molecule: non-coding RNA, 147 nt
Organism: Caenorhabditis elegans
Lineage: Eukaryota; Metazoa; Nematoda; Chromadorea; Rhabditida; Rhabditidae
Source: Ensembl
GAUCUGUUUUCAAAAAUAUAAUAGCAGAGGUUUUGAAAAGAGGGAAACAGACAACCAAAAGAAAUUCAUAGUUUCUUUCGGUUGGCCGCAUGACCAUUGCGCAUGGAAAAUGCGAAGCGACACGUAGAAAAAAUGGAGACAGUGAAA